UAGAGUUUGAUCAUGGCUCAGAUUGAACGCUGGCGGCAGGCUUAACACAUGCAAGUCGAACGGUAACAGGGAAUAGCUCGCUAUUCUGCUGACGAGUGGCGGACGGGGGAGAAAUGCUUUGGGAUAUGCCUUAGUGUGGGGGAUAACUAUUGGAAACGAUAGCUAAUACCGCAUAAUGUCUUCGGACCAAAGAGGGGGACCUUCGGGCCUCUCGCGCUAAGAUUAGCCCAGGUGGGAUUAGCUAGUUGGUGAGGUAAUGGCUUACCAAGGCGACGAUCCCUAGCUGGUCUUAGAGGAUGACCAGCCACACUGGAACUGAGACACGGUCCAGACUCCUACGGGAGGCAGCAGUGGGGAAUAUUGCACAAUGGAGGAAACUCUGAUGCAGCCAUGCCGCGUGUAUGAAGAAGGCCUUCGGGUUGUAAAGUACUUUCAGUCGUGAGGAAGGGUGUGUAGUUAAUAGCUGCAUAUCUUGACGUUAGCGACAGAAGAAGCACCGGCUAACUCCGUGCCAGCAGCCGCGGUAAUACGGAGGGUGCGAGCGUUAAUCGGAAUUACUGGGCGUAAAUCGCAUGCAGGUGGUUUGUUAAGUCAGAUGUGAAAGCCCGAGGCUCAACCUCGGAAGGUCAUUUGAAACUGGCAAACUAGAGUACUGUAGAGGGGGGUAGAAUUUCAGGUGUAGCGGUGAAAUGCGUAGAGAUCUGAAGGAAUACCAGUGGCGAAGGCGGCCCCCUGGACAGAUACUGACACUCAGAUGCGAAAGCGUGGGGAGCAAACAGGAUUAGAUACCCUGGUAGUCCACGCCGUAAACGAUGUGUACUUGGAGGUUGUGGCCUUGAGCCGUGGCUUUCGGAGCUAACGCGUUGAGUAGACCGCCUGGGGAGUACGGUCGCAAGAUUAAAACUCAAAUGAAUUGACGGGGGCCCGCACAAGCGGUGGAGCAUGUGGUUUAAUUCGAUGCAACGCGAAGAACCUUACCUACUCUUGACAUCUAGAGAAGCCAGUGGAGACACAGGUGUGCCUUCGGGAACUCUAAGACAGGUGCUGCAUGGCUGUCGUCAGCUCGUGUUGUGAAAUGUUGGGUUAAGUCCCGCAACGAGCGCAACCCUUAUCCUUGUUUGCCAGCACGUAAUGGUGGGAACUCCAGGGAGACUGCCGGUGAUAAACCGGAGGAAGGUGGGGAUGACGUCAAGUCAUCAUGGCCCUUAUGACCAGGGCUACACACGUGCUACAAUGGGCAGUACAGAGGGGCGCAAUACCGCGAGGUGGAGCCAAUCCCAGAAAACUGCUCGUAGUCCGGAUCGGAGUCUGCAACUCGACUCCGUGAAGUCGGAAUCGCUAGUAAUCGAGAAUCAGAAUGUCGCGGUGAAUACGUUCCCGGGCCUUGUACACACCGCCCGUCACACCAUGGGAGUGGGUUGCAAAAGAAGUAAGUAGCUUAACCUUCGGGAUGGCGCUUACCACUUUGUGAUUCAUGACUGGGGUGAAGUCGUAACAAGGUAGCCGUAGGGGAACCUGCGGCUGGAUCACCUCCUUA
RNAcentral lists this ribosomal RNA (1537 nucleotides) under uncultured prokaryote. RNAcentral describes it as "partial 16S ribosomal RNA". It matches the Rfam family "Bacterial small subunit ribosomal RNA". The record is from RNAcentral.